UUAAUAGUUUAACCUUUUUCUUAUUGGAUUUUCGUUUAGAGCUUAGACCAAUGGGUAUUUGUUUUGCUUCUAUUUCGAAUGGAAAAGCCAAACGGCAAUAAGCCUUUAUUAGUCACGGCAAUGUGAGUUGCAAAAUGUAUUGGGCAAGUUACAGUGAUCGCGAUUUCGGUCUUACCAGGGGCCUCAUCAGACUAUUAUGCCACUAAAAGAUUACAUGCUUCCACCUACUCACUAAUUAGUGAGCAGUGCAAUGGUAGAAACUAAGCAAAAGAAACGAAAGAGAAACAAAAACCAUAAACCCAUUGGUCUAAGCUGAACGAAAAUGCAAUAACAAAAUGAAAUAUUUUGUGAGCAAACGAACGAAUUGCAAAAACAGAAUUUUCUUUCAAUAAAAAAAGUAAAUAGAACCACCUGCACUCAUCAUAGAAUUUUGAGUUACAAUUUUAUAUUAUAAAGUUUUGUGUUUGGCUGCAUAAAAUUACCCAAGAAUUUUGUAAUGGUUGCAUUUCACUAAUAUUGAACUCCACUCAUUUGCAACCACUUCCAUAAUUUAUACCAUUUUCUGUUGUAAAAAACGGUAAUAUUUUAGAGCAUUACAAAUUGGAUGCACAUAAUUAUUUUACCACAUGUGUUGCAAUGAGCUUAAACCGAAAAACAAGCAUCCAAAUUGAAUGACGUUCUUUUCGUACCGAAAGUGUUGAGUGUUCACUAGAGCAUGACCACCAACCCCAAAAUGAAAAUAAACAAAACCAACUUAGCGGAUAAAAAAUUUCAAAUAAUUUAUAUGAAAACUGAAAACAAUAAAACUAACGAAAGAACAACGUUGUAUAAACUGAUUUAAAUGCACACCAUCUAUGUACAUUUAUUUGCUAUGGCUCGAAAUGGAAGAGGAAAAAAUUCAUUCAAAAAUAAAACCGUUUUUGAUAUCUAUUGGGUUGCCCAAAAAGUAAUUGCGGAUUUUUUAAAAGAAAGUAAAUGCAUUUUUAAUAAAACUUAGAAUGAACUUUAAUCAAAUAUACCUUUUUUCACCUUUUUUCUAAAGCAAGCUAAAAGUCACAGCUGAUAACUGACAGAAGAAAGAAUGCAAUUACGGAGUCACAAGCUGUGAAAAAAUUUGUCAACGCCGACUAUAUGAAAAAUCCGCAAUUACUUUUUGGGCAACCCAAUAUUUAAUUACACUGUGCAACAAUCUAUCAAUUGUGUGCAUAAAGCCUAACGAUGGAUUGACUUGUCUGAACCGGCUCAUAUUGAGCAACAAAGAAGUCGUACCACAAUGAUGUUGCACAGUGUGUCAUAUGAGAAAACACUAAAUUAACCGUAAAUUCUCCAUAGAGAUAAAGAAAUCAUGUAACGAUUGUUUAAUUGUUAACUGAAAUCGCAUAUUUUAAACUUUGGGUAGAAGUUAAAAUUGUUUGGAAAAUAAAAUAACGAUCCGUAGAACCAAUCCCUGCUGAUGGCAUAAAAUAUUAAAACAUAACGCCUUGUCAGAAUAAGAACUCGGCACCACCGAGUUAGACUAAAUAAGCGAACCAUACCAGUAUUGAAAUAAAAUAAACAAAAUGAAUAUUGGCUUAUAUACGCUAUUUUGGCAUCGUUUGGACCACCGUGACGAAGAGGUUAAAAUGUUCGCCUAUGACGCUAAACGCCUGGUUUUGAAUCAGCGUUGGUUAUCGCCUCCUAAUGCUGGAGGCGAAAAAAAGGAAAAGGGAGGGAAACGAAAAAAGGACCAUGAUUUGUGGAACUGCACCUGGAAUGUCUGCGCUCUCUACAGAGAAGUUGCAGUAUACGCGCUGGCGGAAGUAUUGGUGAAGUACAAGGCAGAUAUUACCGCCUUACAGGAAGUGCGAUGGACCGCGAAUGGCGUCACAACAACACCAAAUGGUGACGAACUAUACUGUAGCUGCCAUAACACAAGGCAUGAAUUUGGCUGUGGAUUUGUGUUUAGUCGGAGACUGAAACACCUUGCCUCAAGUCAUAACACAAGGCAUAAAUUUGGCUGUGGAUUUCUGGUUAGUCAGACACUGCAACUCCUUGUCUCAAGCUUUACUCUGGUGGAUGAGAGGCUUGCCACAAUCCGCAUAAAAGCCAAAAUCUUCAACAUCAGCCUUAUUUGUGCCCAUGCCCCGACGGAAGACAAGCACGAACAGACUAGGGAUAUUUUUUCUACAAGCGCCUAGAAAUGGAAUAUGAACGCUGUCCCGCCCAUUAUAUUAAAAUCGUUCUGGGUGAUUUUAAUGCGAAUAUAUAUUUGUCCCAACAGUUGAAAAAUUAAGCCUACACGAAUAAACUUGCGAUAAUGGAUUAAGGCUAGUAGCAGCAUCAGAUUUCAACAUCGAAGGAUUCACACUGCCACAUGGCGGUCACUCGAUCAAAACACGAGAAACCGAAUAGAUCGUGUUGUGAUAGAUGGAAGGCAUUCCACCAGCGUGUUAGAUGUAUUAUCCGAGGGGGGAACAUCGAUUCGAAUUAUUACCUUGUUGCAGCAUAGGUUCACACGCGUCGUAGUGUGGCGAGAAACGUACGAUCUGACACUGCACCUCAGCAUACUAUGUCCCGUACACAAAAAAGGAGACAAGACGGAAUGUACCAACUACAGAGAAAUAAGUCUCCUCCCCAUCGCAUAUAAGAUUUUUUCGUGCAUACUGUGUGAAAGAUAAAAACCUAAAGUCAAUGAGAUAAUUGGGCCCUAUUAAUGCGCCUUUAAACCUGGUAAAUCCACCCUGGGCCAGAUAUUCACACUGCGCAAAAUCCUGGAAAAGACCCGAGAAGAACAAAUCAACGCCUACCAUAUCUUUGUAGACUAUGAAUCCGCUUUCGAUACCCCUAUAAGUUUAAAGGUAUUUCAAGCUAUGUCUGCUCACACCAAAAUAUAAAUUUUUGUGUCAUAUUUGUGUUGUACUUUUAAAUACCUUUCAUUUGAUACCCAUAUUGCUCAAAGCGGUUAAAGUGUCUUGUUGGGUGGUGUUUUUGGGGGUGGGGGGGCCCUCCGACACAUAGGGUAACAUUUUAAUGCCGCAUUCGUAAUCUACUCUUAAAUACCUUUCAUUUGAUACCCAUAUUGUCCCAAUCGGUACACAUGUCCUUUCGGGUGGGUUUUGGGAUGGGGCGUCCCCCCAGGUUAUUUGACCCCAACAUUUUUUACCAAUUUCGUGUUUUUGGGGUACCAUAAGGUGGCAUACAAAAUUUCGCUUGAAUCGGUGCACCCAUUUCCGAGAUCUGGCAUUUUUGAAAAUUUUGGAUAAGGGGGAGGAUCCGCCCCCCCUUCGGAUAUCAAAAAAUGUAGUACCCUAUUUUCUCCGGGGGCUGAAAUUUUCAUGUAAAUCGGUUCAGCCGAUUUUGAGUCCAUACGGAACAGACAAACAAGCAAAACCCAACAAUUUCAUUUCUAUAUAAUAGAUUAUCUUAUUUUAAUAGUUUAUUUACCAUACAGAGAUUGUAUUGACUUGGAAAACGGCGCUGAAGACGGAAGAUAACAUAUGUGGAUCUAGAUUUCGUGGUAUUACAAUGACCCCGACAGUGAAGAGAGGCUCAUAUUGGAAACGACAAUUUUUCUUCUUUUUUUGAAGCCUGGGAUCAUUAAAUCAAAUGUGUUUUAUUAAGCAAUACAUUUCAUGUUUUAUACACAAUCUUAUUCAAUGAAAUAAAAAGAUUUUCAUACAUGUGAAAAA
Molecule: long non-coding RNA, 3668 nt
Organism: Stomoxys calcitrans (stable fly)
Lineage: Eukaryota; Metazoa; Arthropoda; Insecta; Diptera; Muscidae
Exons: 2
Source: RefSeq, a predicted model, not a curated record